UACGUAGAGGGCAAGCGUUGUCCGGAUUCAUUGGGCGUAAAGAGCUCGUAGGCGGUUCAGUAAGUCAGGUGUUAAAGCUCCGAGCUCAACCCGGAGAGGUCAUCAGAAACUGCAGAUAUUGAGUGCUGGAGAGGAUAGUGGAAUUCCUGGUGUAGCGGUAAAAUGCGUAGAGAUCAGGAGGAACACCAGUGGCGAAGGCGGCUAUCUGGACAGUAACUGACGCUGAGGCGCGAAAGCGUGGGGAGCAAACAGGA
Molecule: ribosomal RNA, 254 nt
Filed under: uncultured prokaryote
Description: partial 16S ribosomal RNA
Rfam family: Bacterial small subunit ribosomal RNA
Source: RNAcentral